RNAcentral lists this long non-coding RNA (607 nucleotides) under Homo sapiens (human). RNAcentral describes it as "non-protein coding LINC02520:35". Lineage: Eukaryota; Metazoa; Chordata; Mammalia; Primates; Hominidae. The record is from RNAcentral.
GUCGAAGCUGGCGGGGGGGUUUUCCCAGACAACAGCCUGUCCCGUGCUGCUCCCUGCCAGCCCCAAAUCAGGAGUCCCCCCACCCCCGCACCACCGUGUUUCUAGUCCUGAGAGUGAUGGGCUGGGGGAUGGAGCCUCUGAAAAUUCCACGAAGGUACUGCCCAGUUUUAGCAAUGAAAGUCCCACGUCACGGGAAACCUCUGAGUCCUGGACAAAUCAAGAUGACAUUUUCUAUGCAUAUGCAAGCAUGUCACCAGGAGCAGAGCACAGAGGGACAACACAGCUUUUGCGCUUCCAGCUGGCUCCCAUCAAGAAGUUAGAAGGGAGCCUGCAAACACAUUUCCUGCUAUCAUCUCUCCACCCCAGAAUGACUUUCCCUGGUAGAGCUGGGGGAGGGGAGGCGGGCAGCAGGCCCCCCAGGAGGCCCUGGGCAGGAAUAUUAAUACUCCAACUUCCCAGCACAAGAGGAGGGAGGAGGAGCGGCCACGGCGCAGUCCGGUCCUGGGGGCCCUGGAAGGUGGUUGCUGAGCAGCCCGUGGGAGGCACGGAUCCGCCAGCUCACGGCGGCAGGGGCCGCCCAAGUCCUAAUGAAAACACCUAGCUCCUG